This 468-nucleotide ribosomal RNA is filed under the name uncultured bacterium. RNAcentral describes it as "partial 16S ribosomal RNA". It matches the Rfam family "Bacterial small subunit ribosomal RNA", at positions 28 to 507 of the family's 1533-position model. The record is from RNAcentral.
GACGAACGCUGGCGGCGUGCUUAACACAUGCAAGCCGAACGGAAAGGCCCUGCUUUUGUGGUGUGCUCGAGUGGCGAACGGGUGAGUAACACGUGAGUAACCUGCCCUUGACUUUGGUAUAACUUCAGGAAACUGGGUCUAAUACCGGAUAGGAGCUCCUGCUGCAUGGUGGGGGUUGGAAAGUUUCGGCGGUUGGGGAUGGACUCGCGGCUUAUCAGCUUGUUGGUGGGGUAGUGGCUUACCAAGGCUUUGACGGGUAGCCGGCCUGAGAGGGUGACCGGCCAAAUUGGGACUGAGAUAGGGCCAAGACUCCUACGGGAGGCAGCAGUGGGGAAUAUUGCACAAUGGGCGGAAGCCUGAGGAAGCAACGCGGCGUGCGGGAUGACGGCCUUCGGGUUGUAACCCGCUUUCGCAUGUGACGAAGCGUGAGUGACGGUAAUGGGUAAAGAAGCACCGGCUAACUACGUG